GAUGAACGCUGGCGGCGUGCCUAAUACAUGCAAGUCGAGCGAACGGACGAGAAGCUUGCUUCUCUGAUGUUAGCGGCGGACGGGUGAGUAACACGUGGAUAACCUACCUAUAAGACUGGGAUAACUUCGGGAAACCGGAGCUAAUACCGGAUAAUAUUUUGAACCGCAUGGUUCAAAAGUGAAAGACGGUCUUGCUGUCACUUAUAGAUGGAUCCGCGCUGCAUUAGCUAGUUGGUAAGGUAACGGCUUACCAAGGCAACGAUGCAUAGCCGACCUGAGAGGGUGAUCGGCCACACUGGAACUGAGACACGGUCCAGACUCCUACGGGAGGCAGCAGUAGGGAAUCUUCCGCAAUGGGCGAAAGCCUGACGGAGCAACGCCGCGUGAGUGAUGAAGGUCUUCGGAUCGUAAAACUCUGUUAUUAGGGAAGAACAUAUGUGUAAGUAACUGUGCACAUCUUGACGGUACCUAAUCAGAAAGCCACGGCUAACUACGUGCCAGCAGCCGCGGUAAUACGUAGGUGGCAAGCGUUAUCCGGAAUUAUUGGGCGUAAAGCGCGCGUAGGCGGUUUUUUAAGUCUGAUGUGAAAGCCCACGGCUCAACCGUGGAGGGUCAUUGGAAACUGGAAAACUUGAGUGCAGAAGAGGAAAGUGGAAUUCCAUGUGUAGCGGUGAAAUGCGCAGAGAUAUGGAGGAACACCAGUGGCGAAGGCGACUUUCUGGUCUGUAACUGACGCUGAUGUGCGAAAGCGUGGGGAUCAAACAGGAUUAGAUACCCUGGUAGUCCACGCCGUAAACGAUGAGUGCUAAGUGUUAGGGGGUUUCCGCCCCUUAGUGCUGCAGCUAACGCAUUAAGCACUCCGCCUGGGGAGUACGACCGCAAGGUUGAAACUCAAAGGAAUUGACGGGGACCCGCACAAGCGGUGGAGCAUGUGGUUUAAUUCGAAGCAACGCGAAGAACCUUACCAAAUCUUGACAUCCUUUGACAACUCUAGAGAUAGAGCCUUCCCCUUCGGGGGACAAAGUGACAGGUGGUGCAUGGUUGUCGUCAGCUCGUGUCGUGAGAGGUUGGGUUAAGUCCCGCAACGAGCGCAACCCUUAAGCUUAGUUGCCAUCAUUAAGUUGGGCACUCUAAGUUGACUGCCGGUGACAAACCGGAGGAAGGUGGGGAUGACGUCAAAUCAUCAUGCCCCUUAUGAUUUGGGCUACACACGUGCUACAAUGGACAAUACAAAGGGCAGCGAAACCGCGAGGUCAAGCAAAUCCCAUAAAGUUGUUCUCAGUUCGGAUUGUAGUCUGCAACUCGACUACAUGAAGCUGGAAUCGCUAGUAAUCGUAGAUCAGCAUGCUACGGUGAAUACGUUCCCGGGUCU
This 1372-nucleotide ribosomal RNA is filed under the name uncultured bacterium. RNAcentral's name for it is "bacterial SSU rRNA". It matches the Rfam family "Bacterial small subunit ribosomal RNA", at positions 28 to 1381 of the family's 1533-position model. The record is from RNAcentral.